CUCCCUUUCCUCUUGGGUCAGUGGCUCUCGUACGGAGCUAGAGAGCUAUUGAAAAAGCAUUGCGGUAAAACUGUCUCUUUACACAUGACGAAACGCUUCUCCGUGUCAGCUCCGGGAGGAGGAGGAGAUGAAAACACGUUCGUUUUGCAUACUCAAUCCGACGCGACGAUUGCGCGCGAGAAAGCGAGGAUGAGCACGUCGAGAACGCGAAGGGCAAGUGUUUAAUAGAGACUUCAUCCAGACAUCAUCCAAUCGUCGCUUGUUUCUCAGGGAAGAGGAGUACUUUAUAGCACAGCCUAUAGAGUGUGCGCGCUCAUGUGUGAGAUGGAGAGCAGCGCCGCGUAUUGGUCCCUCGCAGGUUUUCAGUAGCCAUGGCAACCAGUCAGAAUACUUCAGUAAUCAGUGCGCGGGCUCAGGGGAGAUGCUCAGGUCACCUCUCUGGCAUUCAAGGGCAAACAUACCGCACUGAAAACUUCAAAAUAUCUUCAAGUUUGAUGAAAGGUCUAGCCAUGGUCUGGUGAAAUUCUGAAAGACAGUAC
Molecule: non-coding RNA, 539 nt
Organism: Danio rerio (zebrafish)
Lineage: Eukaryota; Metazoa; Chordata; Actinopteri; Cypriniformes; Danionidae
Source: Ensembl